This 711-nucleotide ribosomal RNA is filed under the name Triticum aestivum (bread wheat). RNAcentral describes it as "partial small subunit ribosomal RNA". The record is from RNAcentral. Lineage: Eukaryota; Viridiplantae; Streptophyta; Magnoliopsida; Poales; Poaceae.
AUGACAAACAUUAGCAAAGAGUCUGCACACAGUGCUGAACGACCAUUGCUGCAAUCACCCACAUCACGGCUAUCUGUCAAGCACGUCGUGGAGGUCAUGUAGAGUUUCGAUGAGUACAAGUGAUAUCUUGUUAAGAGCAUUGGGUUUGGCGGAAUGCUUGAUCUCCAACUGCAUCAGAAAUUAAAUCUCAAAUUCAGUGCAUGGACAAUGAGCAAAGUUAGCACCCACUGACGGGCCAUUGUACUGGCUGAGAACAAAAUACUGAAGUUUUGGCCAGAAGAUGUUCACAAAAUUUUUGGUAUCCCAUGUGGGUACCGGAAUAUCAAGGGUCGUGAUGGCCACAUCAAACCAGAAGCCAUCAAGUUUAUAAAGACUACUUUGGGGAUGGACAAAAAAGGAGUUCACAGUCUGGGUGCAGCUGAAGAUUUCCUUAAGAGGGAUAUUUCUGAAUCAUCAAGCAAGCUCGAGAAGGAUUGCUUCCAAAUUGCCUUCGUUAUUUUUGUCAUGGGUCACGUCCUUGCGCCCAGCACCAAGCAUGAUUAUGGUAGUAUUGAUUUUUAGGGAGCGUUGGUGGACACUGAAAACAUAGGCCAAUUCAAUUGGUGCGAGUACAUGGUUCAAUGCAUGCUUGCUAGUGUUAGGAGGCUCAAGACUGAUAUUAGGUCCGGCAACAUGGCAACCAACCUAGUAGGAUGCCACCUCUUCCUGUAG